This is a long non-coding RNA of Rhododendron vialii, 515 nucleotides long. RefSeq lists it as uncharacterized. Lineage: Eukaryota; Viridiplantae; Streptophyta; Magnoliopsida; Ericales; Ericaceae. The transcript is spliced from 3 exons. The record is from RefSeq and is a predicted model, not a curated record.
UCCGUCAUCUUCUUCAAUCCCAUCCAUCAUAUAAUCAUCCACAAUAAACCCAACGCGUUUUACUGUUCCAUUGUCCUGCCAAACCAGCAAAUAAACUCUUACCAAAAGAAAUAGAGAGAGAGAGAGAGAGAGAGAGGUUGCACUGCAGAAGGCUCCUUUUAGUAGUGCCAGUUGGAAUUGAAUGACUUAGACAUUUUGGCAACAAUCAAAAGGGUGGCGUUUUAGAAGUUGUGUAACUUUGGCUUAUGAAAAUCUGAUUGUUGGUAUAGAAGAAAAACUAGAUUUUUAAGGAUUAAGGCAUAUGGGAUAAAGUUUGCUAUUUCUCUUCCUUUUGGAGUUCAGUGACACUACCAUUUGAGGCAUCUCCUUCGUUCCUGAUUAGUAACAAAGGUAAAGUCCUGUGUGAUACGAUUCUCUCUCUUGGUGGAUGCCCCAUCCCGUAUGUAAUUUUAAUUUUUGUACCCCUUAUCAACGAAAUUCCAUAUUGCUUUAAAAAAUAGAGAGAGUUGAGAGAG